Molecule: non-coding RNA, 1244 nt
Organism: Myodes glareolus (Bank vole)
Lineage: Eukaryota; Metazoa; Chordata; Mammalia; Rodentia; Cricetidae
Source: RefSeq, a predicted model, not a curated record
GCUCUACUCUGUUGAAGAACUCUUGGUAGACGACAGGGCACCAGUGAGAGCUGCACCAGGGAGCGGCUGUGUGAUGAAGCAAUGACAGAGGCCUGGACUUCUGGAACUUGUGCAAGAUGACCUGGGAGAUUCUCCAAGGAGGACCUUGAGCAGAUCGAUGAUGGCAUUGGCCACCCCUGCGAGAUCCAAGGGGCUGUGGUGUUCACGAAGCAAACCCCACAAAUAUCUGCACCCCUAAGGGAGGAUGAAGUCUAGUGGCCUUACACUUCCUUCAGAAGCAUGAGAAGGGCAAAGCUCAGCUGUGUUGUGAAAUAUUAAAAUAAAAUGGAGAAGAAGAAAAGAAAAGAAAGAACCAGUAUCAAACAGAACUUGAAUUCCUUCCAGCCUGUGGCUGACCAAAUAUCUUCUGCAAAUCUGCCUGUCUUCUUGACCUGCAGCAGAUGAUAAUAACAAUAACGGUGUGCUUAUCCUGUGCCAGGCGUGGCUUAAAGACUUCUCACAGAUACCAUAUCUAAUUUUCACAAUAACUGAAUAAAGUGGAGGCUAUCAACACCCGCAUGAUAGAGACAAAGAAAUCGGGGCUUAGAGAGCUUGAAAGCGGCAGAGCACCCAUAGGGGAAUCCCACAUCAACAGACAGUGAAGGUCCAGAGAAGAACCUUAUUUCCAUGGGAAACUGGAGCAAGUGUAAAAAGAGACGUGAAGACAAUAUGGUGAGAAAGAAGGAGAAAUUUUCUGUCCAAAGAUGCUUGAGUUCCUGUCCCCAGCUACAUCAUGAAGGCAGAGGAUCCUUUCCAACUCAGAUGAUACAAUCUCCUCUACUGGCUUGAGUGGAUGAUGAGAUGAAGGUUACUUCGCAACUCCGAACCCUGAUUCUCUUUUCCCUGAGACAGCAGUCACGAUAACCCAGGGUCACGGUGAGGACUAACAGAGGUCGCGUGUGGCCUGAUGCUGGACAUCAUUUCAUUGUUCUUUGUCGCUACAUUCUACUUCUUCCUUUGGACUGGAGAGAGAAGAUGGCUAGGUGUUUAGAGCACAUGGAUUGGGAUUUUUUUCAGCCCACAGCUUGAAGUGACCAUUUUUCAGAGCUAGAGGCUUUCAGCCCUUGUUAGACUUCACUGCAGACUUGGAAAGAAGCAGGUCGAUGCCAUGGCUGCAAGGCUACAGGACGUACACAUGGAUUUCGGAAACGUCUCUACGUCCAUCACCUCAACUCCUCCCACGCCCAAGCCCCUGUGAGCAAACA